Anolis carolinensis (green anole) is the source of this 3436-nucleotide long non-coding RNA. The record is from Ensembl. Lineage: Eukaryota; Metazoa; Chordata; Lepidosauria; Squamata; Anolidae.
AUGAUACAACUGGACUUAAUGUCAGGGAAGACCUUUACCUUUUACCAUUUUAUUAUAACAAACAUCUAUCUGGCAAAGAAAAUCAUAGCCUGGCUUAUUUGUAAAUUGCUACUGCCUACCAUAUUUCCUAAUGCAAUGUACGUGUGUGAAGGGACACAAUGCCACCCAUUGUGAGUUCAGUUGUACACUUAACACUGGCUUUCUCCAUAAACACGGAUAAAAGAGGUACAAUGUAAUCACCCAUAAUAAUAUACAGUUCUUAGAGCAAGUGAAUAAAGUCAGUAAUUAAGUAGAUGAAGCCUGUUAACCACUGAAGUGAGCUGGAAGAGUGACACUUAAGCCCCCACACAGACAGUUUUAGACUAAUUAGUGCUUACAAAACUCCUGUAUAGUAGGUUACCAAAGGGCAUCUGAAUGACAUGCUUGAAGCACUCGUCAAGAGAGCUUUGCCAGGGUAUUUUUGGUUGGGGAUCAUCAAACUUCAAAGCAAGCUAAUGCUACAGUACUGGGAGAGUCAGGAAGUGAAUGAAUGCUGGGUUAGUCACAGAUAGACAGAAUUGGAGAAACGCCAAUGGAUGAUGCAGUUGAACCUCCUCACCCCCACCACUGCCAAAAGGGACGUCAACAAGCUUCAUUCAGUAACUGCUUAUCUGAACUUUUCCUGAAAACCCUGAAGGAAAUCAAUGAAACCAGCCCACUUGGGUGAACUGCUGUUUUGGAGAGAACAGACAAAAUACAGAAACUGUUUAAUAGACUGUUGAUUCCCUGCAUGUAUAAGAUCUCAUGUAAUAAUUAAUUAAUAGUUCCAGCAAAUGCUGUUGUACAGAAUUAAUAGCAAGGACUUAUUUCUGAGAUCUUGGGAGAGCUUCUCCCAGUCACUAUUGACCAAAAGAGGGGAAUGUCCCCCCCCCCUUCCAGGACUUGUUUUCAUGUGAGUUCAAACUUCUCCUGCUACUGGCUCUCUUGGUUAGAGAAAGUAGGAGUUAAGGACGUAUAAUAUCUGGAGGUCCACACAUUUCACAUUACUAGUGAGGAUAUUGGUGGAUUAUAUUAGCUGACAACUGACUCAAUAUCUUAGGGCCCAAUAUCACAGCCAUAUAGCCCAGAAUAUCAAGGCAGAAAAUCCCACAAUAUCUGAGUCCACACUGCCAUAUUUUCCAGUUCAAAGCAUAUAAUGUGGGAUUUUAUUCAGCUGUGUGGAAGGGGCCUUAUAUUCUAUUGUUCAUCCUGACAAGAGUAAGUCCAUUAAAUCAAUGGGUUUACCUAUGUGUUCCCUUACCAUUUAAGUAUUGAUUAAAUGAGUCUUUUCAAAUUGGGUUUAACAGGAUACUAUCCAAUAUAUGGCAGUCUUUUAAGGAUAAAUAGAAUUGAUAUGUCAGGUAAGCAGAGAGUGGUAACUGUGAACAAAGGACUUUUGUAAGGUAUGACCUAAAUUUAUAGACCUAAACCAGUGGUUCUCAACCUGGGGUCCCCAGAUGUUUUUGGCCUACAACUCUCAGAAAUCCCAGCCAGUUUAUCAGUUAACCAGGGAGUCGAAGGCCAAAAACAUCUGGGGACCCCAGGUUGAGAACCACUGGCCUAAACCAUCUCACUAGGACUCCCCCUUAUUUUUUUCCCUAUCAUUAGUUAAGGAGCAUAUGACUAGUUCGUUUCCCCCAGGAAACAGGUGUGGACAAUAGACUGGUUGCUGUGCAGAUCGUGUAUCCACUCUCAGUUUUACCCUUACUCCUCUUGACCUUGAACACAGUUGUUCAAGGUUAUAAGAGACCAUUCAGCUCUUGGAUUCUGCCCGUGACAGUUGUUAUCAUUGAGAGAACUUCCAUAUAAACUGAAGCAACAGGAAGAAGAGAGGUUGAAUAAUUGAGAAUAGAUCCACAGCUCUACAGUUAUGGUCCAGCCUUGUAGUGAACUUUUUUCUAAUUCAACUUGUCUAAUUCUGUCAACCUGUGUUUACUUUCUAAAUUCUAGUUUUUAUAUAGCCCAUAUAAAAUAGAAGGAAAAAGGAAGAGAGGCCGACCAAGGGUGAAAUGGAUGGAUGGUAUCCUUGAAGUGACUGGCCUGACUUGAAAGAACUGGGGGUGGCGACAGCCGACAGGAAGCUCUGGUGUGGACUGGUUCAUGAGGUCACGAAGAGUUGGAAAUGACUGCGUGAAUGAAGAAGAAUAUAGCCCAUAGUCAGGGCUAUAUGAAGGAAGUGAUGAAUAAUUUUACUUCUAAUUGUGAGAGUCUUUGAGAACCUCACUACUUUCAAUUACUACUCACAAUUAAGGACUUAUUCUGUGUUGUAUACUUUUAAAAUUACAUGGUUAUCGUCUUUACACAAUUUUAAAUAAAUCUUAUUUUCUUUGACCUAUGUCUAGAUUUUUCUUAUCUUGGUUGGAUCUAUCCUUAAGUGGUAUAUAAGAAAACUAAUUAAGAUAUUUGUUUUCCUUAAACAUUUUGAGGGAAAGCCUGUCUGUAGUUAUACCAAACUCAUUAAAAAGAUCACUUUUAAUGCAAUGAUUUUUAAAUCCAGCAUGUGCCUUAACUUUGUCAUACUACAGAUAACCAUGGCACCCAAUUUUUAAAUCACAAUAUUCACAUUCCAAGAAACUUUCUCACUACACAAUAUCAAUUCAUUCAACUACAAAACAGCAAGCUUUGUAAUUCUCAUGUAAUUUUAUAUUAUGGAUUUUCAGACCACUUUUUCCCUUAGUGUCAUAUAGUGUUUCCUUAUUUGAGGUAAGUAUUGAACAACUUGAUGAAGUUCUGGAAUGAAAUAGCUGAACUUUGAUGUGAGUGGGAGAAGGUCAGAAUUUCACAAAAAGUAGAUAAUGGAGGGACACAAUCCCAGUUUGUGUGGCAAAAGGAACUGAUUCAAUUCAGAAUGAGCGGAACAAUAUUUUGAUUUUUUUUUUAGUGUUGUGGAAUAUUGCAUCUUUCUGGCAGAUUUUAAUUUUUUUCCAGACAAAAUUAAGUCUUAUCUUCUCACCAUGCACACUGGACCUACAUGUUUCCCAGUCAGGUGCCCCUCCCACUGUUCAGUGGUCAGGGAAAGAAUAGGAGCAAAUGACAGGAAGCAUUGCAGCCAACUGACUCUGCUCUUAUAGCCAGCAGUCAAAAGAAAUUGUCACUCUACUGAAUCUGUGGAGGGGCCCACAGUGUCCAGGGGAAUGCCUUGAUCUUUCUAAAGGUGGCUUACGGAUCUGACCUUCCCUUGAUUUCAGGCUACCUCUAUCUUCUUUGUUUACUGAAUGGUUGGGGAGGUGGUUCAGGGAGUGGAACAGUAAGUGGAGGUGCUGAAGUCUUUCAUCUCCCAUUACCAAAAGGGAAACAUACAUUAUAUUGUGUCAUUAAUAUGAUGACAGCCCCCCCCCCCCCACAUCAUCCCAGGCUAAAGAAAUGGGGAUAAAAGUCUUCCAUCAACAUUUAUAACCAUUCAUUCCAAGAAGGGGGA